CUGUGAGCUCGAUGAGUAGGGCGGGACACGUGGUAUCCUGUCUGAAUAUGGGGGGACCAUCCUCCAAGGCUAAAUACUCCUGACUGACCGAUAGUGAACCAGUACCGUGAGGGAAAGGCGAAAAGAACCCCGGCGAGGGGAGUGAAAAAGAACCUGAAACCGUGUACGUACAAGCAGUGGGAGCACAGAGCAAUCUGUGUGACUGCGUACCUUUUGUAUAAUGGGUCAGCGACUUAUAUUCUGUAGCAAGGUUAACCGAAUAGGGGAGCCGAAGGGAAACCGAGUCUUAACUGGGCGUUAAGUUGCAGGGUAUAGACCCGAAACCCGGUGAUCUAGCCAUGGGCAGGUUGAAGGUUGGGUAACACUAACUGGAGGACCGAACCGACUAAUGUUGAAAAAUUAGCGGAUGACUUGUGGCUGGGGGUGAAAGGCCAAUCAAACCGGGAGAUAGCUGGUUCUCCCCGAAAGCUAUUUAGGUAGCGCCUCGUGAAUUCAUCUCCGGGGGUAGAGCACUGUUUCGGCAAGGGGGUCAUCCCGACUUACCAACCCGAUGCAAACUGCGAAUACCGGAGAAUGUUAUCACGGGAGACACACGGCGGGUGCUAACGUCCGUCGUGAAGAGGGAAACAACCCAGACCGCCAGCUAAGGUCCCAAAGUCAUGGUUAAGUGGGAAACGAUGUGGGAAGGCCCAGACAGCCAGGAUGUUGGCUUAGAAGCAGCCAUCAUUUAAAGAAAGCGUAAUAGCUCACUGGUCGAGUCGGCCUGCGCGGAAGAUGUAACGGGGCUAAACCAUGCACCGAAGCUGCGGCAGCGACGCUGAUGCGUUGUUGGGUAGGGGAGCGUUCUGUAAGCCUGUGAAGGUGUGCUGUGAGGCAUGCUGGAGGUAUCAGAAGUGCGAAUGCUGACAUAAGUAACGAUAAAGCGGGUGAAAAGCCCGCUCGCCGGAAGACCAAGGGUUCCUGUCCAACGUUAAUCGGGGCAGGGUGAGUCGACCCCUAAGGCGAGGCCGAAAGGCGUAGUCGAUGGGAAACAGGUUAAUAUUCCUGUACUUGGUGUUACUGCGAAGGGGGGACGGAGAAGGCUAUGUUGGCCGGGCGACGGUUGUCCCGGUUUAAGCGUGUAGGCUGGUUUUCCAGGCAAAUCCGGAAAAUCAAGGCUGAGGCGUGAUGACGAGGCACUACGGUGCUGAAGCAACAAAUGCCCUGCUUCCAGGAAAAGCCUCUAAGCAUCAGGUAACAUCAAAUCGUACCCCAAACCGACACAGGUGGUCAGGUAGAGAAUACCAAGGCGCUUGAGAGAACUCGGGUGAAGGAACUAGGCAAAAUGGUGCCGUAACUUCGGGAGAAGGCACGCUGAUAUGUAGGUGAAGUCCCUCGCGGAUGGAGCUGAAAUCAGUCGAAGAUACCAGCUGGCUGCAACUGUUUAUUAAAAACACAGCACUGUGCAAACACGAAAGUGGACGUAUACGGUGUGACGCCUGCCCGGUGCCGGAAGGUUAAUUGAUGGGGUCAGCGCAAGCGAAGCUCUUGAUCGAAGCCCCGGUAAACGGCGGCCGUAACUAUAACGGUCCUAAGGUAGCGAAAUUCCUUGUCGGGUAAGUUCCGACCUGCACGAAUGGCGUAAUGAUGGCCAGGCUGUCUCCACCCGAGACUCAGUGAAAUUGAACUCGCUGUGAAGAUGCAGUGUACCCGCGGCAAGACGGAAAGACCCCGUGAACCUUUACUAUAGCUUGACACUGAACAUUGAGCCUUGAUGUGUAGGAUAGGUGGGAGGCUUUGAAGUGUGGACGCCAGUCUGCAUGGAGCCGGCCUUGAAAUACCACCCUU
This 1827-nucleotide ribosomal RNA is filed under the name Escherichia coli. RNAcentral's name for it is "partial 23S ribosomal RNA". It matches the Rfam family "Bacterial large subunit ribosomal RNA", at positions 397 to 2207 of the family's 2925-position model. The record is from RNAcentral. Lineage: Bacteria; Pseudomonadati; Pseudomonadota; Gammaproteobacteria; Enterobacterales; Enterobacteriaceae.